AGUUGAGGCAGAAAUUGGCCCUACUACAGAGAGAGUACUCCAGGACAGUGAAGAGAUUGCAGCGAGCUGAGCGUUCGGAUGCUGUACGGAAGCAUGUGAGAAGCCACAUAUCUAACCUCCUGGAUCAGAGGGACCCAGGUCCGGCCAGCACCUCUUUCAACCCAGCUCUGCCCCCUCUCUCCAUUGACAGCCCUGCUAGGACAGUCCCAGGCUUGGCCACGCCACUAGGCCCUGCUCGAGACUCGAACCCUGCCAACACCAGGAGAGAGCCGUCCGUCUGCUUCCUCCUCCCUGUCGAUGACUCUCUGACUCCUGACCCUAAACCUGACCCUGCCGGGGGUCACAGGCGAAGCCCUGCCCUCCGGCUGAGGUCACGGAGAAGCCGGUUGCGC
Molecule: long non-coding RNA, 392 nt
Organism: Esox lucius (northern pike)
Lineage: Eukaryota; Metazoa; Chordata; Actinopteri; Esociformes; Esocidae
Source: Ensembl